UUCCGGUUGAUCCUGCCGGAGGCUACUGCUUUUGGAAUUCGAUUAAAGCAUGCGAGUCAAGAGGUCUUCGGAUACUCGGCGUAAUGCUCAGUAACACGUGGACAAUCUACCCUUGGGCGGGGGAUAAUCUCGGGAAACUGAGGAUAAUACCCCAUAGGCCUGAUCUGCUGGAACGCUUUCAGGCUGAAACCUUCGGGCCCAAGGAUGAGUCUGCGGCCUAUCAGGUCGUAGUGGGUGUAACGGACCCACUAGCCGUCGACGGGUAUGGGCCUUGAGAGAGGGAGCCCAGAGAUGGACUCUGAGACACGAGUCCAGGCCCUACGGGGCGCAGCAGCUGCGAAAACUUCGCAAUGUGGGAAACCACGACGAGGGAAUUCCAAGUGCUAGCGCAAAGCGUUAGCUGUUCUUUAGCCUAAAAAGCUAAAGGAGUAAGGGCUGGGUAAGACCGGUGCCAGCCGCCGCGGUAAUACCGGCAGCUCGAGUGGUAGUCGUUUUUAUUGGGCUUAAAGCGUCCGUAGCCUGCUUCGUAAAUCCUUGGGUAAAUCGGCCAGCUUAACUGUCCGAAUUCUGAUGAGACUGCGAAGCUUGGGACCGGGAGAAGUCAGAAGUACUCCUGGGGUAGGGGUGAAAUCCUGUAAUCCUAGGGGGACUACCAGUGGCGAAGGCGUCUGACUAGAACGGAUCCGACGGUGAGGGACGAAACCCUGGGGCACAAACGGGAUUAGAUACCCCGGUAGCCCAGGGCGUAAACGCUGCAGGCUUGGUGUUGGGAGUCCCACGAGGGCACUCAGUGCCGGAGUGAAAAUGUUAAGCCUGCCGCCUGGGGAGUACGGCCGCAAGGUUGAAACUUAAAGGAAUUGGCGGGGGAGCACAGCAACGGGUGGAGCGUGCGGUUUAAUUGGAUUCAACGCCGGGA
Molecule: ribosomal RNA, 916 nt
Filed under: uncultured Thermoplasmatales archaeon
Lineage: Archaea; Methanobacteriati; Thermoplasmatota; Thermoplasmata; Thermoplasmatales
Description: bacterial SSU rRNA
Rfam family: Archaeal small subunit ribosomal RNA
Source: RNAcentral